UACGUAGGGUGCGAGCGUUGUCCGGAAUUAUUGGGCGUAAAGAGCUUGUAGGCGGUUUGUCGCGUCUGCUGUGAAAAUCCGGGGCUCAACCCCGGACUUGCAGUGGGUACGGGCAGACUAGAGUGUGGUAGGGGAGACUGGAAUUCCUGGUGUAGCGGUGAAAUGCGCAGAUAUCAGGAGGAACACCGGUGGCGAAGGCGGGUCUCUGGGCAGUAACUGACGCUGAGGAGCGAAAGCGUGGGGAGCGAACAGG
This 253-nucleotide ribosomal RNA is filed under the name uncultured bacterium. Its description in RNAcentral is "partial 16S ribosomal RNA". It matches the Rfam family "Bacterial small subunit ribosomal RNA", at positions 524 to 776 of the family's 1533-position model. The record is from RNAcentral.